RNAcentral lists this ribosomal RNA (253 nucleotides) under uncultured bacterium. Its description in RNAcentral is "partial 16S ribosomal RNA". It matches the Rfam family "Bacterial small subunit ribosomal RNA", at positions 524 to 776 of the family's 1533-position model. The record is from RNAcentral.
UACGUAGGGGGCAAGCGUUGUCCGGAAUCAUUGGGCGUAAAGAGCGCGUAGGCGGCCCUGUAAGUCCGCUGUGAAAGUCAAGGGCUCAACCCUUGAAUGCCGGUGGAUACUGCAGGGCUAGAGUCCGGAAGAGGCGAGUGGAAUUCCUGGUGUAGCGGUGAAAUGCGCAGAUAUCGAGAGGAACACCUGCGGCGAAGGCGGGUUGCUGGGCCGACACUGACGCUGAUGCGCGAAAGCCAGGGGAGCGAACGGG